Molecule: ribosomal RNA, 392 nt
Filed under: uncultured bacterium
Lineage: Bacteria
Description: bacterial SSU rRNA
Rfam family: Bacterial small subunit ribosomal RNA
Source: RNAcentral
GACGAACGCUGGCGGCGUGCUUAACACAUGCAAGUCGAGCGGUAAGGCCCUUUCGGGGGUACGACGAGCGGCGAACGGGUGAGUAACACGUGGGUGACCUGCCCUCAGCUCUGGGAUAAGCCUGGGAAACCGGGUCUAAUACUGGAUAUGACUCCAUGACGCAUGUUGUGGGGUGGAAAGCCUUGUGCGGCUGAGGAUGGGCCCGCGGCCUAUCAGCUUGUUGGUGGGGUGAGGCCUACCAAGGCGACGACGGGUAGCCGGCCUGAGAGGGCGACCGGCCACACUGGGACUGAGACACGGCCCAGACUCCUACGGGAGGCAGCAGUGGGGAAUCUUGCGCAAUGGGCGAAAGCCUGACGCAGCGACGCCGCGUGAGGGAUGACGGCCUGGUU